GUAGAAGACACCAUUGACUACUUCAAAGAGAAAGAAAAGGAGGAUCCCCAUUUCUUCUACAGAAUAAGGCUCGACGAUGAGGAUCACGUUAAAAACAUGUACUAGGUGGAUGGUGCAGCGCGGAGAGACUACAAACAUUUUCGUGACUACAUUUCUUUCGAUGCGACAUAUCUGAUGAACAUGUACAAGAUACCAUGUGCUCCAUUCAUAGGGAUAAACAACCACAACCAGUCCUUGCAGUUUGGUUGCGGCCUUGUAUGAAAUGAAGAUAUCGAUAGCUACAUGUGGUUGAUCAAAACCUUCUUGGAGUGCAUGGAUGGACUUGCUCCAAUGAACAUAAUAACGGACCAAAACUUCAGCAUGUGUGGAGGUAUCGAGGAAGUCUUCCCCCUUGCAGUGCACAUGCAUUGCAGGUGGCAUAUUGUAAGGAAAGUAGAAGAAACUCUGGGGCCAUUCUUUGCUGACCGUCGAGAUCUACAUAAGGCAUUCGAGUUGUGCGUGCACCAGAGCUUGAUAGUGGAAGAGUUUGAACGGAGUUGGAAGGCCAUGAUUGAAGAAUAG
RNAcentral lists this ribosomal RNA (561 nucleotides) under Triticum aestivum (bread wheat). RNAcentral describes it as "partial small subunit ribosomal RNA". The record is from RNAcentral. Lineage: Eukaryota; Viridiplantae; Streptophyta; Magnoliopsida; Poales; Poaceae.